This 394-nucleotide ribosomal RNA is filed under the name uncultured bacterium. RNAcentral's name for it is "partial 16S ribosomal RNA". It matches the Rfam family "Bacterial small subunit ribosomal RNA", at positions 523 to 918 of the family's 1533-position model. The record is from RNAcentral.
AUACGUAGGGGACGAGCGUUGUCCGGAAUUACUGGGCGUAAAGGGCGCGCAGGCGGAUAUUUAAGUCAGCUGUUAAAGCCAUGGGCUCAACUCAUGGAUGCGGUUGAAACUGGGUAUCUUGGGUGCUGGAGAGGUAGGCGGAAUUGCCGGUGUAGCGGUUUAAUGCGUAGAUAUCGGGAAGAACACCAGUGGCGAAGGCUGCUUACUGGCCAGCAACUGACGCUGAGGCGCGAAAGCCAGGGGAGCGAACGGGAUUAGAUACCCCGGUAGUCCUGGCCGUAAACGAUGAAUGCUAGGUGUGGGUGUCGAGAGGAAUCCGUGCCGGAGUUAACGCGAUAAGCAUUCCGCCUGGGGAGUACGGUCGCAAGAUUGAAACUCAAAUGAAUUGGCGGGG